GGGGUGAUGGUCUAACCUGGUAUGACGCCUGCUUCGGGAGCAGGAGGUUGGGAGUUCGAAUCUCCCUCACCCCA
Molecule: transfer RNA, 74 nt
Filed under: Microcaldota archaeon
Lineage: Archaea; Nanobdellati; Microcaldota
Description: Candidatus Micrarchaeota archaeon (hot springs metagenome) tRNA-Pro
Rfam family: tRNA
About the family: Transfer RNA (tRNA) molecules are approximately 80 nucleotides in length. Their secondary structure includes four short double-helical elements and three loops (D, anti-codon, and T loops). Further hydrogen bonds mediate the characteristic L-shaped molecular structure. tRNAs have two regions of fundamental functional importance: the anti-codon, which is responsible for specific mRNA codon recognition, and the 3' end, to which the tRNAs corresponding amino acid is attached (by aminoacyl-tRNA synthetases). tRNAs cope with the degeneracy of the genetic code in two manners: having more than one tRNA (with a specific anti-codon) for a particular amino acid; and 'wobble' base-pairing, i.e. permitting non-standard base-pairing at the 3rd anti-codon position.
Source: RNAcentral